RNAcentral lists this non-coding RNA (32 nucleotides) under Geobacter sulfurreducens KN400. The record is from RNAcentral. Lineage: Bacteria; Pseudomonadati; Thermodesulfobacteriota; Desulfuromonadia; Geobacterales; Geobacteraceae.
UUCGGGAACAACAUUAGGCUCUAAAGAACCGU